CGCGGAUGCACACUGCACCCUCAUGAAGGUGCAAGUAUGUUGUUUCCCCCUCUCUAGGGUGUGUGGGAUUUGCACCAUGGUGAGCGUGUCAUAACAGAUUUGGGCGAACACUUCCUGGCGUGUUGUGUCUCAGUACAAAGACAGCAGCGUCUGCAGAUGUACUGGAUGUGUGUGUGUGUGUGUUUGUGUCUAUGUUUAAGGAACCUCCCAAAAACUCCACCCACGCUCACUUUUUCCCAGAACACCACCCAGAAUCAACCAGCCUCUCCAAGGGUCUAAACAACAGUAGAAAUCCGAGAACUGACCUGUGAAAACUCCUUUAUUUUGCCCUACGCUGGAGCCAACAGAGGCUUUGAUGGAAGUCCUUUCCCUGUCACCUGGAGAGAGGCUGAGCCACUCUGUCUAUAUGGCACUUAACCACGGCUCUCAGACAAACACAGAGGAUGCAGCAUGGACACGGAACGUCCGUCAUGGCCGACUAACAGAAAAUAGACCCCUCAAGCCCUAUUACUCUCUCCUCUGUCAGGAAGGAGUUAACCCCGCAAAGACUGAACAUUAGGGUCAAAUGUUAACAGAGCAUGUAAUUAAUGUCAUGAGUCCCCUUGACCAAUGAGGCGGACUCGCGCUGUCUGUUCUCAACUAGCCAACAGGAUCAGAGCGUGCAGGAAUUCAUUCAGAUCUCAUAAUCAAUAAGUAACCCUUAUCAAAGGCAGAUUGUAUCCUACCUGCUGUUUCAGAGUAAGUAAACAGGAUUAGCAGCUGUGGCAGAGCACCUUCCGCUUCCAAUCUUUUUU
Cyprinus carpio carpio is the source of this 794-nucleotide long non-coding RNA. Lineage: Eukaryota; Metazoa; Chordata; Actinopteri; Cypriniformes; Cyprinidae. The record is from Ensembl.